AGAACGAACGCUGGCGGCAUGCCUAAUACAUGCAAGUCGAACGAACUCUUCGGAGUUAGUGGCGCACGGGUGCGUAACGCGUGGGAAUCUGCCCCUUGGUUCGGAAUAACAGUUGGAAACGACUGCUAAUACCGGAUGAUGACGAAAGUCCAAAGAUUUAUCGCCAAGGGAUGAGCCCGCGUAGGAUUAGCUAGUUGGUGAGGUAAAGGCUCACCAAGGCAACGAUCCUUAGCUGGUCUGAGAGGAUGAUCAGCCACACUGGGACU
This 266-nucleotide ribosomal RNA is filed under the name uncultured soil bacterium. RNAcentral describes it as "partial 16S ribosomal RNA". It matches the Rfam family "Bacterial small subunit ribosomal RNA", at positions 26 to 320 of the family's 1533-position model. The record is from RNAcentral.